CGCGUAGGCUGUUUGCCAAGUCAGGUGUGAAAUCCCCGGGCUUAACCCGGGAACUGCGCUUGAAACUGGCAGACUAGAGUACGGGAGGGGGAAGCGGAAUUCCGAGUGUAGAGGUGAAAUUCGUAGAUACUCGGAGGAACACCCGUGGCGAAGGCGGCUUCCUGGACCGAUACUGACGCUGAGGCGCGAAAGCGUGGGGAGCAAACAGGAUUAGAUACCCUGGUAGUCC
RNAcentral lists this ribosomal RNA (229 nucleotides) under uncultured bacterium. Its description in RNAcentral is "partial 16S ribosomal RNA". It matches the Rfam family "Bacterial small subunit ribosomal RNA", at positions 568 to 796 of the family's 1533-position model. The record is from RNAcentral.